Molecule: long non-coding RNA, 318 nt
Filed under: Olea europaea (common olive)
Lineage: Eukaryota; Viridiplantae; Streptophyta; Magnoliopsida; Lamiales; Oleaceae
Description: long non-coding RNA (OEUR_LNC015118)
Source: RNAcentral
UAGAAAUAUUACAAAGGCUGGGAAAGUCAUCCAGCAUGAUACAAUUCACUGAUAAAAGAUUCUGAGGUGUUCAAUGUUCCAUGGACGGGGUUGUGCCUUGCCGUCCAUGUCUUCAAUCCAGUAGGUUCCAGGUCGGAUUUCUUCUCUGAUCUUGUAUGGACCUUCCCAGUUCGGUCCCAGGGAGCCGGAACCGGGUUCUUUUGAAGAUGGAAAGACCCUCCUGAGCACAAGAUCGUUGAUUCGGAAAGACCUCUUCUUGACUUUGGAGUUGAAGUACCUUGUCAUCUUCCUUUGGUAGGUGCCUAGCCUCAGCUGGGA